This 2071-nucleotide unclassified non-coding RNA is filed under the name Hevea brasiliensis (rubber tree). The record is from RNAcentral. Lineage: Eukaryota; Viridiplantae; Streptophyta; Magnoliopsida; Malpighiales; Euphorbiaceae.
AGAGUACCCUUAACGUCAGUGUUUACAUAACUGCUUGAUGCUGUAGUGGGGCCUAACCUCGACAGUCCGAAAUCCGAGACCUUGGCCUCCAAAUCCUCAUCCAACAAUAUAUUGGUAGACUUGAUGUCACGGUGUAUAAUUGAAUGUUUUGUGCCGGUAUGAAGAUAGUGUAAUCCUCGAGCAGCACCAAUGCAAAUCUUGAGCCUUUGAUUCCAUGAUAAUGGUGGAUGGCGUCUCUUGUAGAGAUGAUCACGGAGAGUUCCACCGGCCAUGUAAUCGUAGACUAGAAUGAAUUCAUUGUUCUCUUGGCAGAAGCCGAGUAAGGAAACCAGGUUCAAUUGACGAAAUGUUGAGAGCAAAUCAAUUUCAGUUUGAAACUCCUGUAGCCCUUGGUGGGACUCCGGACUUUUGCGCUUGAUGGCAACUUGGGUAGCUCCGCCGUCUAUCGAACCCUUGUAAACCUUGCCGAAACCACCCACACCAAUCACAAGAACUUCACUGAAAUUUUUGGUGGCCACCCUGACGUCUGCUAAUGUGAACUCGCGGCAGAGGGAAGAUGAUCUUAGCACUGGCAUAUUUGAUUUCCUGUGGUCACGGGAUAUUGGGUGCAGUUGUGAGACUUCGAAACAGGAAGAAUUCCUUUUUGUCCACUGGUAUACAGCUAAACAAGAUACAAAGAUUCCACCAAGGCAACCUAAAACGGCUUCAAGGACGACACUGACUCGAAUCUUCUUUCUUUUUCCGAAUCUUGGUUCAAAAUAUGGAGCAAGAUUGUUAUUCUCAUCGCUAAGUUUCAUGAUCUCAACUCCAUUUAGUAUUGCAUUCUCAAAUUUGGGACUUGAUUCUGGGUUUGGAUGCAGGGCUAGCCACAGUUUCUGCUUCCCUCCUAUCCCUUCUGGAACCACAAUGGUGUAGUCUCUAUAAAUUGCCACAAGUGGUGCUCCUGCCAAAGCAAUUACAUCCAAACUGUCCUCUACCGUCUGGUUGUUAAUAUAAACAGUGAACACUCUCUGAUUCACCCCUGUUACCUCAUGUGAAAUCUCACAAAGAUGAAGCCUAACAAGAUAUUUGAAACCAGAAUCUACAAGAAAUGUCCAAGUCAGGUUGUAGCUCAUGUUAAUAGCAUCAUCGCUGCCCAUCGUCCGGGCUGAAUCAUAUAGAUAUAUGGGAGCGGCGUAGUCCCCCAUGUUCCAAGGUUCCCCAGUGAUUUCAUCAUCCGUAAAAAUGACAGUGCCGCUCAUAGAUCCCAUUAUAUAGCUGGAGUCAUCUAGCCACUCCCAGAGGUCAUCAGAAAAAGCGUCGUGACGCCCCACUUUGACUCUAUGAAGCAUCUCAAAGGCUGGCUCAUGGUGAAGAGAUAUCUGAUUAUAAGUAUAAUUGUAGAAAUUGGCUGGAAAGUUGUAAAUUUCUAUACCAUUGACAAAGGCAUAAGCUCCUGAUGAUGGGAUAAAAGUGAUAUUCAAUAGGUUCUAAGUUAAUAACAAAAUCUUUAGUGAAGUAAACUAAUUCCAAAGUAUCUGCCAUAACAGAAGGGCUAAAAUUGUUUAGCAGAGUGUAACGACCCGAGACCACAGAGAAAUCAGCGUCGGUGAUGCUUUUUAGGGUGGCGUAGGAAGCCGGAUAGAAGUGAAGGCGGAUGAAUUUGAAACCAGGGGAAAGAGGAAAAGCAUAGGUGAAAUUAAAACGAGAGACGCGUGCAGUAGAGUAUGGAAUCUUGGGAACUUCACCAUUAAUCAGUGUUAAUGGUACAGAAAUCGAACUUCUCUGAUAAUCGGCAGGCAAGAAGCUGGAGCCUACAUCACCAGUCCAGUUUUUUCCAUUAAAUGAAAAGGACCCAGCAGAUCCGCAGUUGAGAACAAUUUUAUCCAAGGAAGAAGAAGAGUUGUUGGAUGCACAGCUUAUGGAUUCAAAAGCAGCGCACAAGUAUAGAAGGGUGAAGAUAGAGAAACUCCGAGGAUUCAUUGAAGAAGUCCGGUACAUCAGGCUAAGUAUGUUAAAGACAGUAUUAAAGGCAAGUGUUGGAAUGCAAGAUAUAGAGAAGCAGAUUGUUUGCUAAUCAGAAACACAAAAU